RNAcentral lists this ribosomal RNA (1436 nucleotides) under uncultured bacterium. Its description in RNAcentral is "bacterial SSU rRNA". It matches the Rfam family "Bacterial small subunit ribosomal RNA". The record is from RNAcentral.
AGAGUUUGAUCAUGGCUCAGAACGUACGCUGGCGGCACGCCUAAUACAUGCAAGUCGAACGAAGUAGCAAUACUUAGUGGCAGACGGGUGAGUAACAUGUGGGUAUCUUCCCUUUGGUGAGGAAUAACACGAGGAAACUUGUGCUAAUACCUCAUAAGUCUUUACGGAGAAAGCUUUAUGCGCCAUUGGAUGAGCCCGCACUUGAUUAGUUUGUUGGUGGGGUAAUGGCCUACCAAGACAAUGAUCAAUAGCUGAUUUGAGAGGAUGAUCAGCCACAUUGGGACUGAGACACGGCCCAAACUUCUACGGAAGGCAGCAGUAGGGAAUCUUGCACAAUGGAGGAAACUCUGAUGCAGCGAUGCCGCGUGAGUGAAGAAGGCCUUUGGGUUGUAAAGCUCUUUCGUCGGGGAAGAAAAUGACUGUACCCGAAUAAGAAGGUCCGGCUAACUUCGUGCCAGCAGCCGCGGUAAUACGAAGGGACCUAGCGUAGUUCGGAAUUACUGGGCUUAAAGAGUUCGUAGGUGGUUAAAAAAGUUGGUGGUGAAAUCCCAGAGCUUAACUCUGGAACUGCCAUCAAAACUUUUUAGCUAGAGUAUGAUAGAGGAAAGCAGAAUUUCUAGUGUAGAGGUGAAAUUCGUAGAUAUUAGAAAGAAUACCAAUUGCGAAGGCAGCUUUCUGGAUCAUUACUGACACUGAGGAACGAAAGCAUGGGUAGCGAAGAGGAUUAGAUACCCUCGUAGUCCAUGCCGUAAACGAUGUGUGCUAGACGUUGGAAAUUUAUUUUCAGUGUCGCAGCGAAAGCAUUAAGCACACCGCCUGGGGAGUACGACCGCAAGGUUAAAACUCAAAUGAAUUGACGGGGACCCGCACAAGCAGUGGAGCAUGUGGUUUAAUUCGAAGAUACGCGCAGAACCUUACCAACACUUGACAUGUUCGUCGCGACUUUAAGAGAUUAAAGUCUUCGGUUCGGCCGGACGAAACACAGGUGCUGCAUGGCUGUCGUCAGCUCGUGUCGUGAGAUGUUGGGUUAAGUCCCGCAACGAGCGCAACCCUUACUUUUAGUUGCCACCAUUUAGUUGAGCACUCUGAAAGAACUGCCAGUGAUAAGCUGGAGGAAGGUGGGGAUGACGUCAAGUCCUCAUGGCCCUUACGUGUUGGGCUACACACGUGCUACAAUGGCACUCACAAUAGGAAGCAAAGAGGUGACUCUAAGCAAAUCCUAAAAAAGUGCCUCAGUUCGGAUUGUACUCUGCAACUCGAGUACAUGAAGCUGGAAUUGCUAGUAAUCGCGGAUCAGCGCGCCGCGGUGAAUACGUUCCCGGGUCUUGUACACACCGCCCGUCACACCAUGGAAGUUGGUUCUACCUUAAGGCAAAGCAUAAAACCUUUGACCACGGUAUAGUCAGCGACUGGGGUGAAGUCGUAACAAGGUAGCC